UCCUUCGGGAGCCGAGUAGAGUGGCGAACGGGUGAGUAACGCGUGGGUGACCUGCCCUUUGGUGGGGGAUAACCCGGGGAAACCCGGGCUAAUACCGCAUAAGUCCUGAGACGUCGAGUUUCAGGAGAAAGUCUUCGGACGCCGAAGGAGGGGCCCGCGUCCGAUUAGCUAGUUGGUGAGGUAAGGGCUCACCAAGGCGACGAUCGGUAGCCGGUCUGAGAGGACGGACGGCCACACUGGGACUGAGACACGGCCCAGACUCCUACGGGAGGCAGCAGUGGGGAAUUUUGGGCAAUGGGCGCAAGCCUGACCCAGCAACGCCGCGUGGAGGAAGAAGGUCUUCGGGUCGUAAACUCCUGUCCUGGGGGACGAAGAAAGUGACGGUACCCCAGGAGGAAGCCCCGGCUAACUCCGUGCCAGCAGCCGCGGUAAUACGGGGGGGGCAAGCGUUGUUCGGAUUUACUGGGCGUAAAGGGUGUGUAGGCGGCUUCGGAAGUCCUGGGUGAAAG
RNAcentral lists this ribosomal RNA (509 nucleotides) under uncultured bacterium. RNAcentral's name for it is "bacterial SSU rRNA". It matches the Rfam family "Bacterial small subunit ribosomal RNA", at positions 76 to 600 of the family's 1533-position model. The record is from RNAcentral.